GCACAAUUAAUUCAAAAUCAAUUUUUCAAUAUCCUAAUAUUAAAUUAAAUGUCAUACAUGCCAAAUAAACUCGAAACUUAAGUUCAUGCCACAGUUCAAAGAAACCAAUACAAUUCCAAAUAGCAAAAAUUAUAAUAUAAAGUCUAAAAUAUUUUUAAUAAAUAAAACUAUCCGAGCCAAGCCUUCCGGAUGUCGUAUCCUAACCUAGUGGGUUAUUUAUAAAUAUGGAAAUUUAAGAGUGAACUUAAGAAGCUCAGCGUGAGUCCAAUCACAAGAAAAUCAAUGUAGAACAGUAGACAACGAAUACGGAAUAACAAUUCUCAUAUUAAUCGCAACCAUUUAGCAAAUCACAAUAUCGAUUUUUCAAUCAACACUUUUCUAUAAUAUUUCAGAAUCCACAGUUUUAUGAAUGACAAUGCAAUUUUAAUUUAUCAUAAAGAGUCCUACCCAACUCCACUACACACCACACUAUGAGUUCCCUAGAACUCAUCCAUCCGUACACACCGAGUUGUGGAUAAAUCACUAUUAAUUUGCAGUUAAACUGCCACUUUGUUGUAAAAAUUGUGGGUAAACCACCAAUAUUUUCAGAUAAAACAUUUGCAGAUAAACUGCCACUUGGUUUGUGGAUGAGCCACUACUGGUUUGCACAUUAUUAAACUGCCACUCUUCGUCCAUGCAUAUCGUCGCGCCCCAUGCAAUGUAAUAUGACAUGCUUUGUAAAAAAACAAUACAAAAAUAGUGGAUAUGUUUUACAUAUAUUCAAUUCAAAAAUGCCAGUAGACAUGCUUAACAUGUAUUCAGUUCAACAUUAGCAGUAGACAUGCUUAACAUGUACUCAAUAGGGUGGUAACAAUAUUAACACUAACAAUUUUCCAGUAUCACUUUGACAAUAGGCAUGUAAUAUUCACAUCUCAUACUAUAUAACAAUAGUACUUUAGUCAUUAAAUCAUAGAUUCCAAAAUAAUAAUAUCAGGGACUUAAUUGAGUGAAUAAAACUCUGAAAAUAAUUCAAGGAAUAUACAAGGACUAAACUAAACAUAUCAUAAAUUUCUAAGCAAAAUUGUAAAGAAUGGGUCACAUGACUGUAUGGCCAGGCCAUGUGAGGGUCUCAUGGUCAUAUGGAUAGGUUACACAACUGUGUAGCCAGGCCGUGUAAUAGGUUUAAAUUAAUUUUACUUGCAAAAUUUCUAAUAUUGACCUAUCUGAUUUCUUUUUACUUGCAAUUUAAAUUAAUUUUUUAUUUUAAUUUUGUAUAUAUUGUAUAUGUAUUAUCAUUAGUUUCAAACGAUACAUUUUAAUACCUAUUAUAUGUAUUUUAAGUGCAUAUAUAUAUAUUAAAUACAUGAUUUUCACAUGCAUACAAAUGUAAUGGAAUUUCUAUUACAUAUAGUAUGACAUAUUUUUUUGUCAUCAAAUUCUCUAAAGAUCAAAUCUCAAACUUUGAUCAUAUUGAAAUUCUUUAUACAAUCCUUAUUUGACUUUACUCUUGUACCAUAUGCCAUGAGUGAUGGGAUGCUAAAAAUCAUUAAAGAAACCAUUAAAAGCUUCAAAUAAAUAUUAUGAUAAAUUAUUAUAUAAACUCUUCCUACCAUAUUAUUCACGGUCCCAUUUCAAUUAUUUAAUAAUAUUUUAAUAAAUUAUUUUAUUUCAUUCACACAUAAAUUUGUUAAUUUUUUUUACAUUGAAUCCAAAUCCGGAACACAUAAAUUUGUUAAUUUUUUUUACAUUGAAUCCAAAUCCGGAAUCAUGAAUAGAACUUCAAACCUCGAACUCUAAAUAAAAAACUCUCAAACCUCAAACUCAACUCCGACCUCGAAUCCCAAACUCUGAAUCCAAAUUUAAGGUUCGAGUUUAGAAUUUUAGAUUUAAAUUCAAGAUUCAAGUUCGGGUUUGGAGUAAAAAAAUUAUAAGUCAAUAACAUAAAAAAAAUUACUAAAAUUUCAUUAAAUAAUUAAAAAAGAACUAUAAAAACUGUGGUGAGAAAUAUCCUUAAAAUAAUUUCUGUAAUAUAUAAGAAUCAAAUAAAAAUAACAAUGACUUUCCUUAAGUUAAUAUAAAAAAUUUUCUUCUUUCUCAAACUUUUCAUGGAAACAAAGAAGAGCGUAAAGGGAACAGAGGAAAUUGAAGGGUUGAGAGAGAGAGAGAAUUAUCUGUUUUACCUGUUUGAAGCUCGAAAACUUUUGCAGAGGUGAAAGUAUAUUUCCAGGUUCUCUCCACUGAUUUUCGAUGAGAAACUUGAGAGGGGUGAAGAAGGAGCGCAAGUAAAAUCGUCCAAAUUAGGGAAGCGAAUAAUCUGGGAGUAGAGUGAUGAGAGGAUGAAAACUACCCUCAAAACUCUGCUGCCUGCAAACACCUUUCGCUUACCUGAUUUGGCAAAUUUUCCAAAUGUUCCAUUUCUGUUACCAUUAACCUCCUCGGCCUCUGCAACUUUAAAGAACCAAAUGAAACAAACACUACCAACUCCAAGGGUUAGCUCAGCUUUGUGUGUGUGUGUGUGUGUGUGUGCAUUAAUAUAUACUCGAAAUUUCGUCCCGGGGUGAACAUCAGUAGUACUUCUAUUUUAAUUUUUAAAUAAAGAAAACUUAAAA
RNAcentral lists this long non-coding RNA (2588 nucleotides) under Gossypium barbadense (sea-island cotton). RNAcentral's name for it is "long non-coding RNA (GBAR_LNC000261)". Lineage: Eukaryota; Viridiplantae; Streptophyta; Magnoliopsida; Malvales; Malvaceae. The record is from RNAcentral.